RNAcentral lists this unclassified non-coding RNA (441 nucleotides) under Hevea brasiliensis (rubber tree). The record is from RNAcentral. Lineage: Eukaryota; Viridiplantae; Streptophyta; Magnoliopsida; Malpighiales; Euphorbiaceae.
UCUCGAAUUGCCGAAUUUGCUUCGAGAACCCUUUGGCGAAGAACUGCACCCAGAAAGGGGAUUUUCAUAAUUUCAUAUCUCGGAUUUCUUUUAGAGGUGCGCCGUUGAGGUCGAACGAGGUGUAAGGAAUUUUCGCUUGCAGAUUGCGGAGAUGAGGUAGGAGUUGUAGCUGCUGAUACUGGAAGUGGUGGAUGGGAGUUUUUUAGUGUGGAAAUUAAGUCAAAAUGCGGAAAUCUUUCAAGGAUUCCCUUAAGGCACUCGAGGCUGAUAUUCAGUUCGCCAAUACCUUGGCUUCUGAUUAUCCCAAGGAAUACGAUGGGGCAUGCCUACAAAUGAGAUUAUCCUAUAGCCCGGCUGCACAGUUCUUUCUCUUCUUUGUGCAAUGGACUGAUUGUCAUCUUGCUGGUGCAUUGGGUCUGCUCAGAAUUCUGAUAUAUAAGG